Molecule: non-coding RNA, 134 nt
Filed under: mouse gut metagenome
Also listed under: 1 other name
Description: glmS glucosamine-6-phosphate activated ribozyme
Rfam family: glmS glucosamine-6-phosphate activated ribozyme aptamer
About the family: This entry contains a glucosamine-6-phosphate activated ribozyme that is found in the mRNA for GlmS.
Source: RNAcentral
UAGCGCAGGUGCCGCAGUAAUGCGGCAGACGAGGAAAGAGGUCGUCGAAUAGUCAGCGGAUGCCUCUCGGCUUGCUGCAGGCCGUAAAGCUGGGUACAAAUACUGCCGGUAACGGCAGAGACAAAAUCCUGGUG